RNAcentral lists this ribosomal RNA (749 nucleotides) under Phenylobacterium sp. S140. RNAcentral's name for it is "bacterial SSU rRNA". It matches the Rfam family "Bacterial small subunit ribosomal RNA", at positions 98 to 873 of the family's 1533-position model. Lineage: Bacteria; Pseudomonadati; Pseudomonadota; Alphaproteobacteria; Caulobacterales; Caulobacteraceae. The record is from RNAcentral.
GCGGACGGGUGAGUAACGCGUGGGAACGUGCCCUUUGGUACGGAACAACUGAGGGAAACUUCAGCUAAUACCGUAUGUGCCCUAUGGGGGAAAGAUUUAUCGCCAUUGGAGCGGCCCGCGUUAGAUUAGCUAGUUGGUAGGGUAAUGGCCUACCAAGGCGACGAUCUAUAGCUGGUCUGAGAGGAUGAUCAGCCACACUGGGACUGAGACACGGCCCAGACUCCUACGGGAGGCAGCAGUGGGGAAUCUUGCGCAAUGGGCGAAAGCCUGACGCAGCCAUGCCGCGUGAAUGAUGAAGGUCUUAGGAUUGUAAAAUUCUUUCACCGGGGACGAUAAUGACGGUACCCGGAGAAGAAGCCCCGGCUAACUUCGUGCCAGCAGCCGCGGUAAUACGAAGGGGGCUAGCGUUGCUCGGAAUUACUGGGCGUAAAGGGCGCGUAGGCGGACAGUUUAGUCAGAGGUGAAAGCCCAGGGCUCAACCUUGGAAUUGCCUUUGAUACUGGCUGUCUUGAGUACGGGAGAGGUGAGUGGAACUCCGAGUGUAGAGGUGAAAUUCGUAGAUAUUCGGAAGAACACCAGUGGCGAAGGCGACUCACUGGCCCGUUACUGACGCUGAGGCGCGAAAGCGUGGGGAGCAAACAGGAUUGGAUACCCUGGUAGUCCACGCCGUAAACGAUGAGUGCUAGUGGUCGGCAUUCAUGCACUCGGUAAUCCAGCUAAGGCAGCGAAUCACAGGUCAAGCAGACUGA